AGUGGAUUCAUAGUGCCGGCACCAAGCCCCAGUGACAACCCUGGCAGCAGGAAAACAACAAACAAACAAACAAAAAAACCCAACAAAAACAUGAGACCAACAAGCUAGAGUUCUUAAAAACAAAAUGGGCUGUCCUGUAAGAAACCAAAUAUUGAUGAAGAUGUGAAGGAAAAGGAGACAAUACUAUCAGGCCUGAUAAGUGCUCUUCCGUGCAGUGCUCUGACCACCAGUGACCCUGAGCACAGUGGUCUCCGUGGCUUGGUGUGACGGCAGCGACUGUGAUGUCCCACCUAGCUGUGGGCGCUGAGACAGACGCUUUCAGUAUGUGAAAGGAAUUGAAGGUUUAACACAUGACAAGAAGAAGCAUCUGGAUUUAACUUCACAGUUCACAGUAAGAGGUAGAAAAACAUGACUUACACUCAUCUCGGAACCUUGGUUCUGCAUUAGGCCC
This is a long non-coding RNA of Erinaceus europaeus (western European hedgehog), 451 nucleotides long. RefSeq lists it as uncharacterized. NCBI's taxonomy places the organism in Eukaryota, Metazoa, Chordata, Mammalia, Eulipotyphla, Erinaceidae. The transcript has 3 exons. The record is from RefSeq and is a predicted model, not a curated record.